This is a non-coding RNA of Paramuricea clavata, 327 nucleotides long. The record is from the annotation of a GenBank genome assembly. NCBI's taxonomy places the organism in Eukaryota, Metazoa, Cnidaria, Anthozoa, Malacalcyonacea, Plexauridae.
AAACAAACAAAACAAACAAAACAAACAAAACAAACAAAACAAACAAAACAAACAAAACAAACAAAACAAACAAAACAAACAAAACAAACAAAACAAACAAAACAAACAAAACAAACAAACAACAAACAAACAACAAACAAACAACAAACAAACAACAAACAAACAACAAACAAACAACAAACAAACAACAAACAAACAACAAACAAACAACAAACAAACAACAAACAAACAAACAAACAAACAAACAAACAAACAAACAAACAAACAAACAAACAAACAAACAAACAAACAAACAAACAAACAAACAAACAAACAAACAAACACAAC